GACAAGCAAAUCUAAGUAGAAUCACUGCCUAUUGGCUUGUCAAUGCAUCAACUAUUGACAGAUUUCAGGGAUUAUUCAAGGCAGAAAUGAAAUCUUUCUGAUCAUUAUUUUGGCAGUAUUUGGAUGGCUACUCAAACUCAGAAAGAAAAUAUAUCCCUGAGUAUUCCUGUUGUGAGGAAGAAGACAGUGUGAAGAAACUCCUGAAAAAUUAACACUGAAGGAGAUGAGGAUGUCACAACAAUGACCUUUCUUUCAUCUCUGCUGAGAUAUACUACCUGUAAAAUAUAAUUCCCUGAGAAUUCCAGGCUAUCCAGAAGAAUCGGCACCCU
Long non-coding RNA from Schistocerca nitens (vagrant locust), 329 nucleotides. RefSeq lists it as uncharacterized. The record is from RefSeq and is a predicted model, not a curated record. The transcript has 3 exons. NCBI's taxonomy places the organism in Eukaryota, Metazoa, Arthropoda, Insecta, Orthoptera, Acrididae.